Molecule: ribosomal RNA, 305 nt
Filed under: uncultured Synergistaceae bacterium
Lineage: Bacteria; Thermotogati; Synergistota; Synergistia; Synergistales; Synergistaceae
Description: bacterial SSU rRNA
Rfam family: Bacterial small subunit ribosomal RNA
Source: RNAcentral
UUAAGUCCCGCAACCGAGCGCAACCCCUGCAUUCAGUUGCCAUCGGGUAAGUGCCGGGCACUCUGGAAGGACUGCCAUCGACAAGAUGGAGGAAGUGGGGAUGACGUCAAGUCAUCAUGGCCCUUAUGUCCAGGGCGACACACGUGCUACAAUGGCCGGCACAACGGGAAGCGAGUUCGCGAGGACGAGCGGAUCCCUCAAAGCCGGUCGCAGUUCGGAUUGAAGUCUGCAACUCGACUUCAUGAAGCUGGAAUCGCUAGUAAUCGUGGAUCAGCCAAGCCGCGGUGAAUACGUUCCCGGGCCUU